This 62-nucleotide transfer RNA is filed under the name Austropotamobius torrentium (stone crayfish). Its description in RNAcentral is "tRNA-Pro". Lineage: Eukaryota; Metazoa; Arthropoda; Malacostraca; Decapoda; Astacidae. The record is from RNAcentral.
CAGAGGGUAGUUUAAAUUAUAAAAUAUUAAUUUUGGAUAUUAAAGAUAUUUUUUUUCUCUGA